CUGUGAUGAGGGGUGGAGCCUGGCUGCACCUCUCUUAGACCUCAUUUAAGGGCUGACCCCCACUGGGGAAGGAUCUCUGGUUGGAGAUCUCUCCCUUCUGGAUUUUUCCUUGCGAGCGUAGAUCUUCGGAGCUGGAGAUGUUCAAAGCUUCCGGAUGACAGAGCCGGAGAGGCCUUUAUGCUGCACGGACUCAGUGACCACAAGGCGAGUAAAGGUCUCUUCUAGCAAAAACAACAAAGAAAGCCCAAACUCAGGAGGCAGAAUCCACUGAAGAUGCUGAAAAUCUGAAGCUGUGAAUGAAAGAGAAGACUGUUUACCAGGCAAUAUGGGAGCUCUCAGUUUGCAGUGGUAAAAAUCCUCUGGUCUUGGUGAUUUCUCCAUGAAACCAAUGUCAAGAGUCGCGGUGACAAGGGCUGGGGAGAGGAUUAGGGACAACGAAGGGCAGGAAAGAAGGGAAGGUCCAGGAGAAGCACAUGUUCCCAGAGCCACCUGUCUGCAAUUCAGCAUCCCAUGGACACAGGCACAGGCCUGAGAUGAGGCAAUGCAGGCUCUUUUCUGCCCCCAGAACGUAUGCAUCAAGGGACAUUUGGAAGGACCAAAUGGUUCUCUACGUGGAUGGCUCCAGAAAAGCAUUUGUCACACCGAAAACCACACUGGUGCUGGGGAGCUGCCAUCUCACAAGAGAGCACACAUGGUUGGAAAAGGACAGGAUUUAUGGAGACAAAGCGCAGUGCAGCCUGGAGUGGUCACAGCCUCACCUCACAGCAAUAUGCUGUGCAUGGAUCAGAGCUGACUGGUGUUUGUCACCCAAGAGGUAAAAUGAGCUGCUACUGGAAUGCAGGGUUGAUCACCAGAAUGCUCCAGGUGUUUGAUUUGGGUGCAUGGAAAGACAAAAGGCUGCAGUCCAGAGCACAUGGUCUUGCUGCCUGCCUCUUGCCCUGACCCAUGGGUGUCCCACAGACUGGGUGCAUCAGCAGAUCCUCCAUCACCAGCAGAGCUGUCCCUAACAAAACCUGGAAAGCAGCAGCAGCUGUUGCUGCCAUUCAUCCCCAACCUCCUGGAGACAUCACUCCUCAAAGCCCUGCUUUGAAACCUAUGGCAGGCAGCCCUGCAUCAGAGGUCUAAUUACAUGGUAACUGGUGACCCCAUAAGUACAGGGUAAUCUGCUGUGUAACACCACAGUAAAUCAUCCUGGUACUUCUGUCUUUUCUACCACAGCCCUCUGCAGAGAUGGAAAUACAACUGGUCAAAGGGUAGUUAAUUUUUGAGGUUCAUCCAAGCUGCUGAGGAGCAACCUGCAAGAGGUCAUGGGCCCUGUGCAGGGCACGGGACAUGCUCAGGAGCCAUCAUCACAAUACCACCCUACCCUACUGCCACCCUGUCAGUGGCACCUAUGCUUUCCUCUGAAUCCAUCAGAAGCAGCUAUGCACAGUCCCAGGCAUUCACACAUCACAGCUCCAGGAGAACCAACACAGAGCUCUGCACUCCUCCCCAUCACGGGAUGCUUUGCUGCUGGGGGCUGCAAACAGCCUGCUGACCCCUGAGAUCUUCAUGGCAAUGGAAUAUAUUUGCAUACACUCUAGAAACUGCUGACAUCUUUCCCUCUGAAGAGCUUCAGGCUUUUAUAGUAACCACAGCAAUGAUUUCCAGAUUACAGGCUAAUAAAAUACGUUAAUUUGUUAGCAACGUUGAGGUGGGCAUUGUACAGUUCUUACGACAUUUAAAAUAUUCAUAUAGAACAACAACAACAGCUUUCUGAGUGGAUUUCUUUACCAAACAGGAGCACUGAAAUAGAAUGCCAAAAUCCCGUGCUGGUACCCAGAUCAGCUCUGACACCUCCCGCCCAUGCCUGUUUCACUUGAAUACCUGCCAAGCUAAAUAAGCAAAUGUGGUUUUGUCAAGUGAGACCUCCUCCUGAGCAGCUCCAGCAGUUUACGCUCCAUCCAAGCUUGGAUGGCUCUCCAUGUGCCAUUGCUCUCUGUUGUGUGGGUCAGAGCUCUUGAGUGCUGAUGCUUUGGAGCGAACAAGACCGCACCGAACGAAGCAGGGGCAUCUGAGAGGACAGAUGCCUUCACAGCUCCAUAGGUGGAAUUGAUUCUGGCUUUUGUCACGCUUUCUG
Gallus gallus (chicken) is the source of this 2119-nucleotide long non-coding RNA. RefSeq lists it as uncharacterized. Lineage: Eukaryota; Metazoa; Chordata; Aves; Galliformes; Phasianidae. The transcript is spliced from 7 exons. The record is from RefSeq and is a predicted model, not a curated record.